CCCUAGUAACGGCGAGUGAAGCGGCAACAGCUCAAAUUUGAAAUCUGGCGUCUUUGGCGUCCGAGUUGUAAUUUGCAGAGGGCGCUUUGGCAUUGGCAGCGGUCCAAGUUCCUUGGAACAGGACGUCACAGAGGGUGAGAAUCCCGUACGUGGUCGCUAGCCUUUACCGUGUAAAGCCCCUUCGACGAGUCGAGUUGUUUGGGAAUGCAGCUCUAAAUGGGAGGUAAAUUUCUUCUAAAGCUAAAUACUGGCCAGAGACCGAUAGCGCACAAGUAGAGUGAUCGAAAGAUGAAAAGCACUUUGGAAAGAGAGUUAAAAAGCACGUGAAAUUGUUGAAAGGGAAGCGCUUGCAGCCAGACUUGCCUGUAGUUGCUCAUCCGGGUUUUUACCCGGUGCACUCUUCUACGGGCAGGCCAGCAUCAGUUUGGGCGGUUGGAUAAAGGUCUCUGUCAUGUACCUCCUUUCGGGGAGAUCUUAUAGGGGAGACGACAUGCAACCAGCCUGGACUGAGGUCCGCGCAUCUGCUAGGAUGCUGGCGUAAUGGCUGUAAGCGGCCCGUCUUGAAACACGGACCAAGGAGUCUAACAUCUAUGCGAGUGUUUGGGUGUCAAGCCCGAGCGCGUAAUGAAAGUGAACGGAGGUGGGAACCUUUCGGGGUGCACCAUCGACCGAUCCUGAUGUCUUCGGAUGGAUUUGAGUAAGAGCAUAGCUGUUGGGACCCGAAAGAUGGUGAACUAUGCUUGAAUAGGGUGAAGCCAGAGGAAACUCUGGUGGAGGCUCGCAGCGGUUCUGACGUGCAAAUCGAUCGUCAAAUUUGGGCAUA
Molecule: ribosomal RNA, 823 nt
Filed under: Epicoccum sp.
Lineage: Eukaryota; Fungi; Ascomycota; Dothideomycetes; Pleosporales; Didymellaceae
Also listed under: 1 other name
Description: partial large subunit ribosomal RNA
Rfam family: Eukaryotic large subunit ribosomal RNA
Source: RNAcentral